RNAcentral lists this ribosomal RNA (468 nucleotides) under uncultured bacterium. RNAcentral describes it as "partial 16S ribosomal RNA". It matches the Rfam family "Bacterial small subunit ribosomal RNA", at positions 28 to 507 of the family's 1533-position model. The record is from RNAcentral.
GACGAACGCUGGCGGCGUGCUUAACACAUGCAAGUCGAACGGAAAGGCCCUGCUUUUGUGGGGUGCUCGAGUGGCGAACGGGUGAGUAACACGUGAGUAACCUGCCCUUGACUUUGGGAUAACUUCAGGAAACUGGGGCUAAUACCGGAUAGGAGCUCCUGCUGCAUGGUGGUGGUUGGAAAGUUUCGGCGGUUGGGGAUGGACUCGCGGCUUAUCAGCUUGUUGGUGGGGUAGUGGCUUACCAAGGCUUUGACGGGGAGCCGGCCUGGGAGGGGUACCGGACACAUUGGGACUGAGAUACGGCACAGACUCCUACGGGAGGCAACAGUGGGGAAUAUUGCACAAUGGGCGGAAGCCUGAUGCAGCAACGCCGCGUGCGGGAUAACGGCCUUCGGGUUGUAAACCGCUUUCGCCUGUGACGAGGCGUGAGUGACGGUAAUGUGUAAAGAAGCACCGGCUAACUACGUG